Long non-coding RNA from Vespula vulgaris, 1258 nucleotides. RefSeq lists it as uncharacterized. Lineage: Eukaryota; Metazoa; Arthropoda; Insecta; Hymenoptera; Vespidae. The record is from RefSeq and is a predicted model, not a curated record. The transcript is spliced from 3 exons.
AAGUAAUUUAUCUUGUCAUUUACUUGAUGCUUUGCAUUUUAGUAUAGAUAGUAGUUCAAUGUCGCUAUUUUUCAAGAAAUAUCGGUUUUCCCAUAGAACGAAAUCGUUUAUUUCAAAGAUAAGAAAUCUAUUCUUAUAAUUUUUCUUCUCGUUAAAUUAAUGAUUAGUGAUUGGAUAAAUUAAUAAGAAGAUUUCAGGAAGAGAAAACGAAUUAUUUAAAAUUAUUAAUAGAAAGAAAAAAUAUAUAUACAUAUAUAUAUUGUGAUUCCGUUUAAUGUUUAUUUUGUUAUAGUUCAAAAAGCAAUUCAUUAAAAGAAUUUGAAACUAUAGAAUGAUCGAGAUUGUUUAAACUAUGUCAAAAAGAAAAAAAAAAUAUCAAAUCAAACACUUGGAUGAGAAAUAUAAAAGAAAUUUGUUCAAAUGCAUUAGUUACGUUUUGAGGUAAACAUCGUUGCUUUGAUCUAUAUGGAUAUUAAGAAAAUAUAGGGGUAGCUACUACUGGUUGAUUCAUACUUAUCGCACAUGCUAUACUUGUCACGAAAGAAGUGACUGACUUCGAAAAGACCAUAAUUUUCUUCGCGUCUAUAUAUAAAUGUGUAAGAAAGAAAAAUAAAACAAAACGGAGAAUACAUUGCAGAUAUCGUACAUUAUAAUUUUGUUUGAGAGCUUCCUUUAUAUCUGCCCAGAAAAACCACUAAAAGAUUAUUGUAAAUCGAAGAAUUAUUAUAAAUAAUUAAUCAAUAUCAACAGCUAAUACGUUGAUACAAUUACCAUGAAGUACGAACCGGAAGUUUGCAUGAUCUUAAAAAAAAAAAUUAUUACUUAUUAAGUGAAGUAAAGUAUAACAAAUGGAUUUUCGAAAUUAGUAUACCUUCGCAAAAGUUUCUAAACAAAAUAUGAAUAUUUUACCACCAGUCAAGUAACAAGUACUGUAAUCUAUCAUUCUUUGACCUGGAUAACAUAUACUUAAAAAGUGAACAAACUGAGCACAUGAAAAAGUGAAGAACCUAAGUGCUUCUGUUGUUUUAUCCAGCAACAUUAAUGUCUAUAAAAAUAAAUAUGAAGAAGGAGAGAAAGAUAUAUUUUCAGUAUAGAAAUAAAAAAACAAAAACUUACUUGGAACAUAGAAACACUCAAACAUAUCAAUCCAGUAAAAGCUUGCAUAAGAAAAGAUAUUGAAUAACAAGAUUCAAUAAGUUCAGCAAACCUUUUGGUAAAAUAUUUACGUAUAUACGUAAGUAACUAUAUAUAAUUUUAU